This is a long non-coding RNA of Papaver somniferum (opium poppy), 2041 nucleotides long. RefSeq lists it as uncharacterized. NCBI's taxonomy places the organism in Eukaryota, Viridiplantae, Streptophyta, Magnoliopsida, Ranunculales, Papaveraceae. The transcript is spliced from 8 exons. The record is from RefSeq and is a predicted model, not a curated record.
UCUCAGAUGUUUCUCCGUAUUCGAGGAGCUAAUGGUAAUAUUUUGUUACCCUUGGAUCGAAGCCCUUCCAUUCAUGGCUGGAAACAUUGCUUAUUACCUUCUAGACAAACACCAACGUAUCCGCCAUUCAGGAAUCUUUCUCUUGUUCAUCCGAUUUACUCUCAUCUGAACUAGGAGAGUUUGCCAUUAAAUCCGCGCCAAUAACUGUGUUGACACCAUUUUGGUGAAGCUCUUUUUUUUUUUUUAAAUGGACGUGGGGGAGAUGGAAUGGAUCAUGUUGAAUUCUACAUUCUAAUACUGCCAUUGUUUCAGUUAGAUUUAGAGGAAGAGUUUCCUUUAACCUGGAUGAUAGCAUUUUACAAUGAUCUUAUUUAUGCUGGCCAUUAUUUUGUUUUUUUAUAACUAUGCUGUCCAUUAAACUUAUUGGUUAUUUCUUUCUUUAUUGUGCAGGAAUAAAAGGCCUCCCUUGACUGGAUGGAUCCUGGCACAGAUUAGUGGUUGUGCAAUGUUAGGUGUUGUGCUCAACCAAUGUUGCUUCAUCACCGGCGUCAAGUAUACAAGCCCGACAACAGCUAACGCCAUUGCGAAUCUUCUUCCCCUGUUUUCACAUGGAUUAUAGGGCGCCUAGUCGGGCAAGAGCAAAUCAAUCUGGGAACCAUUCAUGGUUUUCUCAAAUGUGUUGGAACCCUGCUAUCUAUUGGAGGUGCAGUGAUCAUCGCGACAGUUAGAGGCCCCAUGGUACUAACAAACAUUGGCAUAUUCUGGGACUGGAAGGAGCACUCUAGCAAUGUCAAGGAGAGUGCAAUUGGCCCUAUUCUUGUUCUUGUUGCUUGUUUGUCAGCUUCAGCAUGGCUGAAUCUGCAGGCUUACUUAAGGACAACGUUUGAUUAUCCAUUAACCACUUCUUUUCUGAUGAAUAUUAUCUCUACGAUUCCAUGUGCCACUAUAGCGGUGAUCUUUGAACAUGCGUCUGGAGUAUGGGGUGAAAUGGGAUGGGAUAUAUGGUUUACUUAGCCGUAUUCUACAGUGGUGCCAUAGGUACAGCUUUAGGCGUAUACUUAUUGACCCGCUGCAUUUCUAUGAGGCGGUCCCCCUUCGUGGCAUCAUUUUCACCAUCCAGCCUCGUUUUAGUCUCGCUAUUAUCAGUGAUUUUUGCUAACGAGCGUUUCUAUGUUGGAGGACUCGUUGGAUCUCUGGUUCUGAUUGGUGGACUGAUACUGGCAUUGUGGGCCAUGCACAGAGAGGUUGUUGUCCAUAAUACGAGAGGUUCCCAUGAACCUAAUGGUACUACUAGGGCUCGUCUUGAGGGUCCAGAUGAUACUACUAUGGCUCCUCCUGAGAGUCUGGAUGUUGCUAUUAUGCCUCGUUCCGAGGGUCCAGAUGUUGAGGCUGGUUUUUCAGCUGAUUCUCCGGAGAUUCGGGAGAUACAUUGAGGCGAAGGACAAGUUGCAAUUAUGGAAACGAAAGAGUAUUGUGUCCAAGUGGGAUCAGUAGAAUAGGGUGAAGCCUUGGCAGCAGUCAUUUCUUUGCAAUGUGCGAAAGAGAAGGGUUGUUUAAGGAAGGGUUUGAUCAACAUGCCAAAGCAUAGAAGUUUAAGACUUGGCUUUUCUAUUUCGUAAACAAUUAUCUUUAUGUUUUAAGUUUCUUAGGAAUGUUAAGUAGUUCCUUUUAUUCCUAAGUACACAUAGGAAGGAUUAUAAUUAUUUUGUUUCUUCUUAUGGCUUGCUGCACUUGAUAGAAUUGUAACACUUGGCAAGUUUGUUGAGUGGGGUUUUCAUCACGUCAUCGAGUGUCUUCUUUGUGGUAAUGCUGAAGAUACUGGCAAGCAUAUGUUUUUUGAUUGUCCUGUUUCUUGAAGAAUUUGUAAUAGCCUCCUACCCUCUUCCGGUAUAAAUGGUACACGGGCACCCACUGUUUUGGUGGGGACUCUAAAACAUAGGAAAUUGAUAAAGGAAAAUUUCUUGUUUGGUCCUAAGCCCAUAAGGUUAUUUAUAGUAGGGUCCAAUCGGAUUUUAUCCUUAUCCUAGGGUCCAAAAUUCUU